AACGAACGCUGGCGGCAGGCUUAACACAUGCAAGUCGAGCGAGACCUUCGGGUGUAGCGGCGGACGGGUGAGUAACGCGUGGGAACGUGCCCUUCUCUACGGAAUAGCCCCGGGAAACUGGGGGUAAUACCGUAUACGCUCCUUGGGGGAAAGAUUUGUCGGAGAAGGGUGGGCCCGCGUUGGUCUAGGUAGUUGGUGGGGUAUUGGCCCACUACGCAUUAGAUCCAUAGCUGGGUUGAGAGAAAGAUCAGCCACACUGAGACUAAGACGCGGCCCAGACUCCUACGGGAGGCAGCAGUGGGGAAUCUUAGACAAUGGGGUCAACCCUGAUCUAGCCAUGCCGCGUGAGUGAUGAAGGCCUUAAGGUUGUAAAGCUCUUUCAGCUGGGAAGAUAAUGACGGUACCAGCAGAAUAAGCCCCGGCUAACUCCGUG
Molecule: ribosomal RNA, 433 nt
Filed under: uncultured bacterium
Lineage: Bacteria
Description: partial 16S ribosomal RNA
Rfam family: Bacterial small subunit ribosomal RNA
Source: RNAcentral